Photinus pyralis (common eastern firefly) is the source of this 1011-nucleotide long non-coding RNA. RefSeq lists it as uncharacterized. NCBI's taxonomy places the organism in Eukaryota, Metazoa, Arthropoda, Insecta, Coleoptera, Lampyridae. The transcript is spliced from 3 exons. The record is from RefSeq and is a predicted model, not a curated record.
CGCGAUUGCGUGUUGUUUCGGUGCACGGCCCGUGGUGUCGGCGUUACUUGCAUUCAGUUUUUCAAAUUACGAAUUGUUUGCGAUAUCAAAAAUCAACUCUUAAAGUUAUAAACCGACUUCGGAAAGCAUAUCACUCGUUUCGGUGCGAUGCAUAAUUUGUUAUUUAAACAUUAUUAAACGAAAGUGGCGUGGUGCUUCUUUUUUGUUUUGGAUCAAGGCAAGAUUUCAUGGAUAUAUUGAUUUUGGUUCUUCAAGGAGAUUGGAGUGUGAGUGUUCCAGCCCUACUUUGGAUUAAUGGUUCUUCGUAGGAGAGAUUGAUUUAUAAGGCUAAACGAUCCAAGAAGGGCAGCCUUACCAAGGUAGGAUUUUUCCUUUUUUGCAUGUUGUAUUGCAUGUUAUAUUAUGUGUCUUUAGCUGUGAACAGUGGGGGGGGAUUACAACCAAAAGGAUUAUGUAGCUAACCUUCGUGUUUAUAGUACAAUACAAGUUGCAACAAUCUCUUCAGUCUUUCAGCUGGGUAAUGUAAGGUUGACCAACGAUUCUUUAAGUAUCUUUCGCAGUAUCCUUUAGUUUCUCUUCAUAUUGAGGAGUAUGUCUAUGAAUUCACAGUCAUACUAGCUUUGUGAAAAAAAUUGAGUUUAUUUGCGAAGCAGACUACAAAGAAGUAUUGUAUAGUCAUUUCUUGCGUUUCCAAUCUGAGUAAACUGUUGCACCUUGAUUUAUUAUUACACGAAGAUUAGCUCAGAGUAAGGUAAGUGCGUGUUUGUUAUCAAUUAGUAAUUCAGCCUUAUACGGAGAAUACAUCGCACCAGGAAAGAAUGUCGGUCACAGCACACCUGAUGUUGGUCUACAAUCGUAUGGUUUACUAUGAAAAAUAUUAGUUUCAUAGUUUAUUUUUCAUAGUAAAAACCAUACGAUUGUAGACCGGUAUCUCGUGUUCUGUGGCCGGAAUUGUUUCCUGGUGAGACUAUACAGAGUGGCCCAACGAGAAGGAUACAGAAGGGGUGAAGA